RNAcentral lists this ribosomal RNA (252 nucleotides) under uncultured bacterium. RNAcentral's name for it is "partial 16S ribosomal RNA". It matches the Rfam family "Bacterial small subunit ribosomal RNA", at positions 524 to 776 of the family's 1533-position model. The record is from RNAcentral.
UACGAGGGGGCAAGUGUUGUUCGGAAUCACUGGGCGUAAAGGGAGCGUAGGCGGGCUUUUAAGUUAGGUGUUUAAUCCCGGGGCCCAACCCCGGACCGGCACCUAAAACUGGGAGUCUUGAAUAGUGGAGAGGUCAGUGGAAUUGGGGGUGUAGCGGUGGAAUGCGUAGAGAUCGGGAAGAACACCAGUGGCGAAGGCGGCCGGCUGGGGGCGCCCUGACGCUGAGGCGCGAGAGCGUGGGGAGCAAACCGG